This 472-nucleotide ribosomal RNA is filed under the name uncultured bacterium. RNAcentral's name for it is "bacterial SSU rRNA". It matches the Rfam family "Bacterial small subunit ribosomal RNA", at positions 8 to 507 of the family's 1533-position model. The record is from RNAcentral.
AGAGUUUGAUCAUGGCUCAGGAUGAACGCUGGCGGCGUGCCUAACACAUGCAAGUCGAGCGAUCUUCUUCGGAAGAGAGCGGCGGACGGGUGAGUAACGCGUGGGUAACCUGCCCCAUACACAUGGAUAACAUACCGAAAGGUAUGCUAAUACAAGAUGAUAUAAGAGAUUCGCAUGGAUUCUUAUCAAAGCUCCGGCGGUAUGAGAUGGGCCCGCGUCUGAUUAGCUAGUUGGUAAGGUAAUGGGCUUACCAAGGCGACGAUCAGUAGCCGACCUGAGAGGGUGAUCGGCCACAUUGGAACUGAGACACGGUCCAAACUCCUACGGGAGGCAGCAGUGGGGAAUAUUGCACAAUGGGCGAAAGCCUGAUGCAGCAACGCCGCGUGAGCGAUGAAGGCCUUCGGGUCGUAAAGCUCUGUCCUCAAGGAAGAUAAUGACGGUACUUGAGGAGGAAGCCCCGGCUAACUACGUG